AGCAGCCCAGGCACCCAGUGAAGAGAAUAACCGUCCCGUCAGGGCGCGGAGAACAGCAAGAAAAGAUCCUCUGCAUUUCCUCAUUGACUCCCACAACCACCAGGUCAAGGAAGUGCCUGCGGUAGCUCCAUUUUCAGGUGGAGACAAUGAGGCUUAACAAGAUGAAGGUAGAGCCGUGAAAACCCAGAUGCCCGGGCCGCAGUCCCCAGAUCAGCUCUGCUGAAUCCAGGGGUGAGUUGCCUCUGGGCACUGGGACUCUCGCAGCAUCUGAGAAGAGUCAAGCUUGAACCAAGGAAAAGCCUGUUGUCUGGGAGGAUUCUACUUGUCUAGAAAGUGAGGGAUGCUGCUGCGGGCAGGCAGAGGACACCCCCCAGGCACGGAGACAUUUAGAUGCCCUCUCUACAGAGGGGAGCCAACCUCAGUGACCACCUGAACAGAGAAGAGGGAGGGAGGGGAGGUGUCUGAGGGGGACCACCCCAGCCACGCCCUCCUGUGUUGGUGGGAGCUGGAGAGAAGAGGGGAUAGUCCAUUUCUUCACAGUGAUGCAAAAAGCUUAACUUCUGAGAACAGCCUCCAAGGAACAAAACAACCCAAGGAAGAGCUGUGUUUAGAGAAAUAAGGAGGUGGUUCACACAAGCCCAGCCCUGCCUUGAGGAAUGAUCCCCUUUCAACAACAUGUAAAACAGCGACUACGUGGAGGCUCUGGAGAGAGACCAGAGACGCAGAAACUGGAGGUAGCCAGGCUCCUAGAAGAGGACGGACGGGCCGAGGAUGAACAGACAGGACCUGGGACCUGGGUACUAAGCUUGUGGGUGUUUCUGGCAUGGUUCUUUCAACUUUUCCGUAUGUUCAAGAUUUGUUUAUAAUACAGUGUUGGGAGGAAAAUCAUUAAGUGAUUUUGACUCCAGCAGUGCUGUCUUACCCCAACAUCAAUGUUGUGCAUCUACUUGUAGCCCAGUGUCUAACACGAGUAUGAGCCAACACACCUAAUGUUUGUUAGAUUUCACAUCGGAAUAGAAUAAUCCAUCAUUUGUAUUUCUGGAUCUAUUUUCAGUGACUCAAGUCACUCAGGUUGAUCAGAAGUGGUUCCUUAUGUUUCAGUAUUCCAAGUCCUCCCCCAAGAACUGGUUGGAAAUUUUCCUUUGAGAGGUUUUAAUUUCUUAUCCCUAUUUGUUCAACUAAUCAUUGUAGAUGAGCAAUAGGGGAGGGAAAUGCUGCCAAAUACAACAGAUUGGAGUGUUUUUCACUUUUUGCAAGUAUAGUCUAAUACUAAUAAUAUUGAUAGUGGAGUUACCAAGCUCUUUCUUGAGUUGUUUACGUAUGUGGAUUUUUCUGUGCUUUUUGGGGGAAGAAGAGGGGAGAUAAAAAGAAAGACUUGAGGCUGUUUAUUUUGUCUUCCCACAUCAAAAUCAUCCUCUUGAGGUAAAAAUGUAUGCUUCUUUUAAAAUUAGAAUAUAUUUCAAUUAAAUUUGGUGGAUCUUUCAUUUAA
This is a long non-coding RNA of Bubalus bubalis (water buffalo), 1489 nucleotides long. RefSeq lists it as uncharacterized. Lineage: Eukaryota; Metazoa; Chordata; Mammalia; Artiodactyla; Bovidae. The record is from RefSeq and is a predicted model, not a curated record. The transcript has 3 exons.